RNAcentral lists this long non-coding RNA (613 nucleotides) under Monodelphis domestica (gray short-tailed opossum). RNAcentral's name for it is "lncRNA (ENSMODG00000035470.2)". The record is from RNAcentral. Lineage: Eukaryota; Metazoa; Chordata; Mammalia; Didelphimorphia; Didelphidae.
AUGGAAAGUGGGCUUUCAGAAACUGGCAUUGGCACAUGCCAAGAACUUUGGAGAAAGCAUUCUAGAAGCCAGGGGGUAGAGAAAGAAGGGUUAAUGGAUAGACAACUGUUACUUGGUACUUGGUCUUUGGUCUUGGUCUUGAACUGCCAUUUUGAUCCUGGUGCUGCCCAAACAGAGGGAGGAAGAGUUGCUUCUAGAACCUUUUCCUAUCUCAAGUCUUUGGAGAACAAAGGAAAACCCUUCAAUACUUCCCUGUGGUUCCUGAUCAGCAAAGAGCAGUUUGGAGCAGUUCUGGUUAUCCCUGUUGUCUCAGGUGUCAGAAGAUGAAGCUUCAUUAUAAGUUCAAGAUUGUUUUACAGAAGCACUUGAAGAAGGAUGAAUUGGUUUCAAUUCCUCAUGAAUCUGAAAUGAAGUAUUUCAAUCAGAAAGACAAGUGAAGAUCUAAAGAAAACAUUGGAGAUAUAGAGAUCUCAUCAACCAAUUAACCUGGAAGGAAAAUACAUCAUAUAGAAAAUGAAAAGAAAAAUAGAUAACUGAGAAUGAAUACAAAAGUGUAAUGUUUGGUAAUACAAUAUUAAUGACAUGAACAAUAAAACAGCAUACUUUAAGAGCA